UUCACUACUUUUGAUUUAUCUUCUAUCUUCAAGAAAUAUUUUGAUGCUCAGACAUGGAACACAAAGUUCAUAUCUGCAUCAGAAUCUACUAGCAUUCACAUCAUUGCUCAUUCUGCUUCUAUCAGCAUUCAUAUAUUCAUCAUCAAUAACUGUUUAUCUUGCAGUCUAAUUGUUCAUAUUCUCAAUGCAGCAGCUGUCUGUACAAUUGAGAUUGUUGAUUUUUUGCUUAUCAGACUUGAUUGCACUUUUCAGAGUGUAAUAUUCAAUAAUCAUUUGCAAUAUAACUCUUCUUAUGACAAUCUGUCUUUGCAAAUGACACACUGUUGCUUCAGCAUAUUUUUCUUGAGAGUCUGUAGAGUUCAAAGCAACUCUUCAUAGUUCUGAGAUUCUUGAUUUCAAUGAUUAAAUUCAGUGUAUAAUAUCUUCAAUAUUUUACUACACAAGUUAUCCAUUCUUUGUUCUUCACUAUAUGAGGAUGUGAUAGUAUAUCAUUGAAAGUCAAUGAUGUUGCUCCUUCAUGUCUCUUAUAUGAUGAUACAAAAUUCAAUCAUUUCUGCUUAAUAUGGGCAUCAAGAUACAGUAUAACAUCAUUUAUCUUGUAUUCUUUCUUUCAAUAAUAUCAGCAG
This 626-nucleotide small RNA is filed under the name Histoplasma ohiense. RNAcentral's name for it is "hypothetical lncRNA". The record is from RNAcentral. Lineage: Eukaryota; Fungi; Ascomycota; Eurotiomycetes; Onygenales; Ajellomycetaceae.